UUAGACCCAAUAAAAAGGCAAAGCCCCCUUCCAGAAAGUCCCCCAUUAAAAAGUCUAUUUGUUUAGUGGGGUGCCUGAGGCCUGCCCCUCACUGUAAGGCAAAUCAAUAGCAGUGCUUGCCUUGCCUCUGGUUCCUGGCAGCUGGCUUCAGGGGGCCCAUGGGUAGGGACCAAAGUGGGACCAGGCAGGAGCCAUCUGAGUGCAGCCUUGGAUCUGACA
Zalophus californianus (California sea lion) is the source of this 219-nucleotide small nucleolar RNA. The record is from Ensembl. Lineage: Eukaryota; Metazoa; Chordata; Mammalia; Carnivora; Otariidae.